RNAcentral lists this ribosomal RNA (664 nucleotides) under Enterococcus dongliensis. RNAcentral describes it as "bacterial SSU rRNA". It matches the Rfam family "Bacterial small subunit ribosomal RNA", at positions 1 to 637 of the family's 1533-position model. The record is from RNAcentral. Lineage: Bacteria; Bacillati; Bacillota; Bacilli; Lactobacillales; Enterococcaceae.
UUUUAUGAGAGUUUGAUCCUGGCUCAGGACGAACGCUGGCGGCGUGCCUAAUACAUGCAAGUCGAACGCUUUUUCUUUCACCGGAGCUUGCUCCACCGAAAGAAAAGGAGUGGCGAACGGGUGAGUAACACGUGGGUAACCUGCCCAUCAGAAGGGGAUAACACUUGGAAACAGGUGCUAAUACCGUAUAAUAAGUAAAACCGCAUGGUUUUACUUUGAAAGGCGCUUUUGCGUCACUGAUGGAUGGACCCGCGGUGCAUUAGCUAGUUGGUGAGGUAACGGCUCACCAAGGCAACGAUGCAUAGCCGACCUGAGAGGGUGAUCGGCCACAUUGGGACUGAGACACGGCCCAAACUCCUACGGGAGGCAGCAGUAGGGAAUCUUCGGCAAUGGACGAAAGUCUGACCGAGCAACGCCGCGUGAGUGAAGAAGGUUUUCGGAUCGUAAAACUCUGUUGUUAGAGAAGAACAAGGAUGAGAAUAAAACGUUCAUCCCUUGACGGUAUCUAACCAGAAAGCCACGGCUAACUACGUGCCAGCAGCCGCGGUAAUACGUAGGUGGCAAGCGUUGUCCGGAUUUAUUGGGCGUAAAGCGAGCGCAGGCGGUUUCUUAAGUCUGAUGUGAAAGCCCCCGGCUCAACCGGGGAGGGUCAUUGGAAACUGGG